Molecule: ribosomal RNA, 252 nt
Filed under: uncultured bacterium
Lineage: Bacteria
Description: partial 16S ribosomal RNA
Rfam family: Bacterial small subunit ribosomal RNA
Source: RNAcentral
UACGGAGGGUGCAAGCGUUAUCCGGAUUUACUGGGUUUAAAGGGUGCGUAGGCGGAAUGAUAAGUCAGCGGUGAAAUCCCUCGGCUUAACCGAGGAACUGCCGUUGAUACUGUCAAUCUUGAGUACAUUUGAUGUGGGCGGAAUGUGUCAUGUAGCGGUGAAAUGCUUAGAUAUGACACAGAACACCGAUUGCGAAGGCAGCUCACAAAACUGUAACUGACGCUGAGGCACGAAAGCGUGGGUAUCAACAGG